GUGCUAUUGGAGCAGCCGAUGUCAGAUUAGCUAGUUGGUGGGGUAAAAGCCUACCAAGGCGACGAUCUGUAACUGGUCUGAGAGGACGACCAGUCACACUGGGACUGAGACACGGCCCAG
This 120-nucleotide ribosomal RNA is filed under the name uncultured bacterium. RNAcentral's name for it is "partial 16S ribosomal RNA". It matches the Rfam family "Bacterial small subunit ribosomal RNA", at positions 215 to 334 of the family's 1533-position model. The record is from RNAcentral.